RNAcentral lists this ribosomal RNA (440 nucleotides) under uncultured bacterium. Its description in RNAcentral is "partial 16S ribosomal RNA". It matches the Rfam family "Bacterial small subunit ribosomal RNA", at positions 338 to 795 of the family's 1533-position model. The record is from RNAcentral.
CCUACGGGCGGCAGCAGUGGGGAAUAUUGCACAAUGGGGGAAACCCUGAUGCAGCGACGCCGCGUGAGCGAUGAAGUAUUUCGGUAUGUAAAGCUCUAUCAGCAGGGAAGAAAAUGACGGUACCUGACUAAGAAGCCCCGGCGAACGACGUGCCAGCAGCCGCGGUAAUACGUAGGGGGCAAGCGUUCUCCGGAUUUACUGGGUGGAAAGGGAGCGUAGACGGUCCUGCAAGCCAGAUGUGAAAGCCCGGGGCUCAACCCCGGGACUGCAUUUGGAACUGUAAGGCUAGAGUGUCGGAGAGGCAGGCGGAAUUCCUAGUGUAGCGGUGCAAUGCGUAGAUAUUAGGCGGAACCCCAGUGGCGACGGCGGCCUGCUGGACGAUGACUGACGUUGAGGCUCGAAAGCGUGGGGAGCACACAGGAUUAGAUACCCGGGUAGUC